GCGAAGGAAACUUGCCUUGAGGCGUUGCAUGGCCCUGUAGUGCAGGGGCCCGGGAAAAAUGGCCUGGAUGGAUGCAGAGAGAAGGCCUACGAUCCGUGCCAGUAAUCGUAGGGGUAUGGUAGUCCGACGAAGGACUUUCCGGAUCUCCCUGCGGAUUGCCGUAAUUUUGGUAGCCGGGAGGUGGAGAGUGCAUGAUGUGGAGUCUAUUACGAAUCCGAGGAAUUGAACUGAUUGAGCCGGGGUCAAUGCAGACUUGGGACGGUUGACGACGAAACCCAGAGAGUCCAAAAGGUGUAGUGUGUAUUCCGUGUGUCUCCGCAGAGUCUCUGCAUCCUC
This 336-nucleotide long non-coding RNA is filed under the name Pelobates cultripes (western spadefoot toad). The record is from RNAcentral. Lineage: Eukaryota; Metazoa; Chordata; Amphibia; Anura; Pelobatidae.